This 783-nucleotide ribosomal RNA is filed under the name Sarcocystis sp. CH47-04. RNAcentral's name for it is "SSU rRNA". It matches the Rfam family "Eukaryotic small subunit ribosomal RNA", at positions 163 to 939 of the family's 1831-position model. Lineage: Eukaryota; Apicomplexa; Conoidasida; Eucoccidiorida; Sarcocystidae. The record is from RNAcentral.
GCUAAUACAUGCGCACAUACCUCUUCCCUCGUGGAAGGGUAGUGUUUAUUAGAUACAGAACCAACCCACCUUCGGGUGGUCCUCAGGUGAUUCAUAGUAACCGAACGGAUCGCAUUAUGACCUUUUGGUCGGCGAUGGAUCAUUCAAGUUUCUGACCUAUCAGCUUUCGACGGUACUGUAUUGGACUACCGUGGCAGUGACGGGUAACGGGGAAUUAGGGUUCGAUUCCGGAGAGGGAGCCUGAGAAACGGCUACCACAUCUAAGGAAGGCAGCAGGCGCGCAAAUUACCCAAUCCUGACUCAGGGAGGUAGUGACAAGAAAUAACAACACUGGAAAUUAUAUUUCUAGUGAUUGGAAUGAUGGGAAUCCAAACCCCUUUCAGAGUAACAAUUGGAGGGCAAGUCUGGUGCCAGCAGCCGCGGUAAUUCCAGCUCCAAUAGCGUAUAUUAAAGUUGUUGCAGUUAAAAAGCUCGUAGUUGGAUAUCUGCUGGAAGCAGCCAGUCCGCCCUUUGUGGGUGUGCACUUGGUGAAUUCUGGCAUCCUCCUGAUUGGUGUUAUCAUCACUUUAUUGUGUUGGUAGCAGCUGUCAGGACCGUUACUUUGAGAAAAUUAGAGUGUUUCAAGCAGGCUUGUUGCCUUGAAUACUGCAGCAUGGAAUAACAAGAUAGGAUUUCGGUUCUAUUUUGUUGGUUUCUAGGACUGAAGUAAUGAUUAAUAGGGACAGUUGGGGGCAUUCGUAUUUAACUGUCAGAGGUGAAAUUCUUAGAUUUGUUAAAGACGAA